This 465-nucleotide ribosomal RNA is filed under the name uncultured bacterium. RNAcentral's name for it is "partial 16S ribosomal RNA". It matches the Rfam family "Bacterial small subunit ribosomal RNA", at positions 338 to 795 of the family's 1533-position model. The record is from RNAcentral.
CCUACGGGAGGCAGCAGUAGGGAAUCUUGCACAAUGGGCGAAAGCCUGAUGGAGCAACGCCGCGUGGGGGAAGAAGGUCUUCGGAUCGUAAAACCCUGUUGUUAGAGAAGAAAGUGCGUGAGAGUAACUGUUCACGUUUCGACGGUAUCUAACCAGAAAGCCACGGCUAACUACGGGCCAGCAGCCGCGGUAAUACGUAGGGGGCAAGCGUGAUCCGGUUUUAUUGGGCGUAAAGGGAGCGCAGGCGGUCUUGUAAGUCUGAUGUGAAAGCCUUCGGCUUAACCGGAGUAGUGCAUUGGAAACUGGGUGACUUGAGUGCAGAAGAGGGGAGUGGAACUCCAUGUGUAGCGGUGAAAUGCGUAGAUAUAUGGAAGAACACCAGUGGCGAAGGCGGCUCUCUGGUCUUUUACUGACGCUGAGGUUCGAAAGCGCGGGUAGCAAACAGGAUUAGAUACCCUUGUAGUC